Molecule: signal recognition particle RNA, 285 nt
Filed under: Propithecus coquereli (Coquerel's sifaka)
Lineage: Eukaryota; Metazoa; Chordata; Mammalia; Primates; Indriidae
Description: Metazoan signal recognition particle RNA (ENSPCOG00000005550.1)
Rfam family: Metazoan signal recognition particle RNA
About the family: The signal recognition particle (SRP) is a universally conserved ribonucleoprotein.
Source: RNAcentral
GUGGUAGCAUGUGCCUUUAGUCCCAGCGACUCGGGAGACUGAGGCAGAAGGAAGACUCGAUUGAGUGCAGGAGUUCUGGCCUGUAGUGUGCUAUGCCUGUCAGGUGUCCACACGAAGUCCAGCAUCAAUAUGGUGGCCUUCCAGGAGCAGGGGGGACCACUAGGUUGCCUAAGGAGGGGUGAACUGGCCCACGUUGGAAACAAGAGUAGGUCAGUAGUGGGAUUGCACCUAUGAAUGAAUAGCUGCUGUACUCCACCCUGAGCAACAUAACAGGAGCCUGUCUCU